UGCCAGACUCCUACGGGAGGCAGCAGUGGGGAAUAUUGCACAAUGGGGGAAACCCUGAUGCAGCGACGCCGCGUGAGCGAUGAAGUAUUUCGGUAUGUAAAGCUCUAUCAGCAGGGAAGAAAAUGACGGUACCUGACUAAGAAGCCCCGGCUAACUACGUGCCAGCAGCCGCGGUAAUACGUAGGGGGCAAGCGUUAUCCGGAUUUACUGGGUGUAAAGGGAGCGUAGACGGCUGUGCAAGCCAGAUGUGAAAGCCCGGGGCUCAACCCCGGGACUGCAUUUGGAACUGUGUGGCUGGAGUGUCGGAGAGGCGGGCGGAAUUCCAGGUGUAGGAGUGAAAUCCGUAGAUAUCUGGAGGAACAUCAGUGGCGAAGGCGACUAUCUGGCACAUAACUGACGCUGAGGAGCGAAAGCGUGGGGAGCAAACAGGAUUAGAUACCCCGGUACUA
RNAcentral lists this ribosomal RNA (449 nucleotides) under uncultured bacterium. RNAcentral describes it as "partial 16S ribosomal RNA". It matches the Rfam family "Bacterial small subunit ribosomal RNA", at positions 329 to 797 of the family's 1533-position model. The record is from RNAcentral.